Molecule: ribosomal RNA, 776 nt
Filed under: uncultured Neocallimastigales
Lineage: Eukaryota; Fungi; Neocallimastigomycota; Neocallimastigomycetes; Neocallimastigales
Description: partial large subunit ribosomal RNA
Rfam family: Eukaryotic large subunit ribosomal RNA
Source: RNAcentral
GUAGUCUCGCACAGAUGCAUAUCAAUAAGCGGAGGAAAAGAAACUAACAAGGAUUCCCCUAGUAACGGCGAGUGAAGCGGGAAGAGCUCAAAUUUGAAAUCUUAAAGGGUUUCCCUUUACGAAUUGUAGUUUAAAGAAGUGUUUUCUGUUGAGGUUUUGGUAAAAGUUCUUUGGAAUAGGACAUCAUAGAGGGUGAGAAUCCCGUAUUUGACCUUUACUUUCAACUUUGUGAUACACUUUCAAAGAGUCGGAUUGUUUGGGAAUGCAGUCCAAAAUGGGUGGUAAAUUUCAUCUAAAGCUAAAUAUUGGCGAGAGACCGAUAGCGAACAAGUACCGUGAGGGAAAGAUGAAAAGAACUUUGAAAAGAGAGUUAAACAGUACGUGAAAUUGUCAAAAGGGGAAGCGUUUGACACCAGUGUUGUUUUUCUGAAAAUCAAUUAAAGAACUGUUUAUGCUAAGCUUGUUUAGACUUUAUCAGCUAUCUGCUUAGUUUUGAGCUUUUCUUUAAUGCACUUUUCAGUUAACAAGUCAACAUCAAUUUCUUUUGCUGUAAAAAAGCUUGAGGAAGGUGGCUUGAGAUUCGUCUUAAGUGUUUAUAGCCUCUUGCCUAUGCAGUCGGAGAGAUUGAGGUCUGCAGCGUAGAUCCUUCGGGGCUAAAUGCAUUUGUGCUAAGUUAUAGCAUUUUAUAGACAACUUGUUGACUAUGAUUUGUCUUGUAGCUUACUCGCUUAUGUUAUUUUACCUACGCUUAGGAUGUUGACAGCAGUAUAGACUGU